Molecule: ribosomal RNA, 2929 nt
Filed under: Citrobacter freundii
Lineage: Bacteria; Pseudomonadati; Pseudomonadota; Gammaproteobacteria; Enterobacterales; Enterobacteriaceae
Description: bacterial LSU rRNA
Rfam family: Bacterial large subunit ribosomal RNA
Source: RNAcentral
GGGUUGUGAGGUUAAGCGACUAAGCGUACACGGUGGAUGCCCUGGCAGUCAGAGGCGAUGAAGGACGUGCUAAUCUGCGAUAAGCGUCGGUAAGGUGAUAUGAACCGUUAUAACCGGCGAUUUCCGAAUGGGGAAACCCAGUGUGAUUCGUCACACUAUCAUUACGUGAAUACAUAGCGUAAUGAAGCGAACCGGGGGAACUGAAACAUCUAAGUACCCCGAGGAAAAGAAAUCAACCGAGAUUCCCCCAGUAGCGGCGAGCGAACGGGGAGCAGCCCAGAGUCUGAAUCAGCUUGUGUGUUAGUGGAACGGUCUGGAAAGUCCGACGGUACAGGGUGAUAGUCCCGUACACCAAAAUGCACAGGUUGUGAACUCGAAGAGUAGGGCGGGACACGUGGUAUCCUGUCUGAAUAUGGGGGGACCAUCCUCCAAGGCUAAAUACUCCUGACUGACCGAUAGUGAACCAGUACCGUGAGGGAAAGGCGAAAAGAACCCCGGCGAGGGGAGUGAAAAAGAACCUGAAACCGUGUACGUACAAGCAGUGGGAGCNNNNNNNNNNNNGUGACUGCGUACCUUUUGUAUAAUGGGUCAGCGACUUAUAUUCUGUAGCAAGGUUAACCGUAUAGGGGAGCCGAAGGGAAACCGAGUCUUAACUGGGCGUUAAGUUGCAGGGUAUAGACCCGAAACCCGGUGAUCUAGCCAUGGGCAGGUUGAAGGUUGGGUAACACUAACUGGAGGACCGAACCGACUAAUGUUGAAAAAUUAGCGGAUGACUUGUGGCUGGGGGUGAAAGGCCAAUCAAACCGGGAGAUAGCUGGUUCUCCCCGAAAGCUAUUUAGGUAGCGCCUCGUGAAUUCAUCUUCGGGGGUAGAGCACUGUUUCGGCUAGGGGGUCAUCCCGACUUACCAACCCGAUGCAAACUGCGAAUACCGAAGAAUGUUAUCACGGGAGACACACGGCGGGUGCUAACGUCCGUCGUGAAGAGGGAAACAACCCAGACCGCCAGCUAAGGUCCCAAAGUCAUGGUUAAGUGGGAAACGAUGUGGGAAGGCACAGACAGCCAGGAUGUUGGCUUAGAAGCAGCCAUCAUUUAAAGAAAGCGUAAUAGCUCACUGGUCGAGUCGGCCUGCGCGGAAGAUGUAACGGGGCUAAACCAUGCACCGAAGCUGCGGCAGCGACACUAUGUGUUGUUGGGUAGGGGAGCGUUCUGUAAGCCGUUGAAGGUGUACUGUGAGGUAUGCUGGAGGUAUCAGAAGUGCGAAUGCUGACAUAAGUAACGAUAAUGCGGGUGAAAAACCCGCACGCCGGAAGACCAAGGGUUCCUGUCCAACGUUAAUCGGGGCAGGGUGAGUCGACCCCUAAGGCGAGGCCGAAAGGCGUAGUCGAUGGGAAACAGGUUAAUAUUCCUGUACUUGGUGUUACUGCGAAGGGGGGACGGAGAAGGCUAUGUUAGCCGGGCGACGGUUGUCCCGGUUUAAGCAUGUAGGCGGAGGUUCCAGGUAAAUCCGGUACCUUUUUAACGCUGAGGUGUGAUGACGAGGCACUACGGUGCUGAAGUAACAAAUGCCCUGCUUCCAGGAAAAGCCUCUAAGCAUCAGGUAACACGAAAUCGUACCCCAAACCGACACAGGUGGUCAGGUAGAGAAUACCAAGGCGCUUGAGAGAACUCGGGUGAAGGAACUAGGCAAAAUGGUGCCGUAACUUCGGGAGAAGGCACGCUGAUAUGUAGGUGAAGUGAUUUACUCAUGGAGCUGAAAUCAGUCGAAGAUACCAGCUGGCUGCAACUGUUUAUUAAAAACACAGCACUGUGCAAACACGAAAGUGGACGUAUACGGUGUGACGCCUGCCCGGUGCCGGAAGGUUAAUUGAUGGGGUUAUCCGUAAGGAGAAGCUCUUGAUCGAAGCCCCGGUAAACGGCGGCCGUAACUAUAACGGUCCUAAGGUAGCGAAAUUCCUUGUCGGGUAAGUUCCGACCUGCACGAAUGGCGUAAUGAUGGCCAGGCUGUCUCCACCCGAGACUCAGUGAAAUUGAACUCGCUGUGAAGAUGCAGUGUACCCGCGGCAAGACGGAAAGACCCCGUGAACCUUUACUAUAGCUUGACACUGAACACUGGUCCUUGAUGUGUAGGAUAGGUGGGAGGCUUUGAAGUGUGGACGCCAGUCUGCAUGGAGCCAUCCUUGAAAUACCACCCUUUAAUGGCUGGUGUUCUAACGUGGACCCGUAAUCCGGGUUGCGGACAGUGUCUGGUGGGUAGUUUGACUGGGGCGGUCUCCUCCUAAAGAGUAACGGAGGAGCACGAAGGUUAGCUAAUCCUGGUCGGACAUCAGGAGGUUAGUGCAAAGGCAUAAGCUAGCUUGACUGCGAGAGUGACGGCUCGAGCAGGUGCGAAAGCAGGUCUUAGUGAUCCGGUGGUUCUGAAUGGAAGGGCCAUCGCUCAACGGAUAAAAGGUACUCCGGGGAUAACAGGCUGAUACCGCCCAAGAGUUCAUAUCGACGGCGGUGUUUGGCACCUCGAUGUCGGCUCAUCACAUCCUGGGGCUGAAGUAGGUCCCAAGGGUAUGGCUGUUCGCCAUUUAAAGUGGUACGCGAGCUGGGUUUAGAACGUCGUGAGACAGUUCGGUCCCUAUCUGCCGUGGGCGCUGGAGAAUUGAGGGGGGCUGCUCCUAGUACGAGAGGACCGGAGUGGACGCAUCACUGGUGUUCGGGUUGUCAUGCCAAUGGCAUUGCCCGGUAGCUAAAUGCGGAAGAGAUAAGUGCUGAAAGCAUCUAAGCACGAAACUUGCCCCGAGAUGAGUUCUCCCUGAGACUAUAAGUCUCCUGAAGGAACGUUGAAGACGACGACGUUGAUAGGUCGGGUGUGUAAGUGUAGCGAUACAUUGAGCUAACCGAUACUAAUGAACCGUGAGGCUUAACCUUACAACGCCGAAG